GCUGAUAAGGACUGCUUACUCUCAGAAUGAGUUGCCCUGCUCAACUCCUGGGGCUGCUCAUGCUCUGGAUCCCAGGAUCCGGUGGGGUUGCUCUAUUGACCCAAACUCCACUCCCCCUGCCUGUCACCCUUGGAGAUCAGGCCUCCAUCUCCUGCAGGUCUAGUGAGAGCCUCCUGUACAGUAAUGGAAAAACAUAUUUGUGUUGGUUCGUGCAGAAGCGAGGCCAGUCUCCACAGCAACUGAUCUAUUGUGUUUCCAACCGAGAAAGCGGAGUCCCAGACAAAUCCAGUGGUAGUAGGUCAAUCACAGAUUUCACACUGACAAUCAGCAGGGUGAAAAACCAGAAUGGUAGACAUUUUGAUUCACAUGGCCUCCAAAGAGUAACCUUGCAACCCCACCCCCAUUCCAAUAACAGUCUUCAGAUUUGGGGAAUCUUCCUUGGAAGGGGAGUACUUAAGUUGGGACAGAUGGUCUCCUCUUCUUGACAGUUUCCAUGUCAGG
Dipodomys ordii (Ord's kangaroo rat) is the source of this 501-nucleotide non-coding RNA. The record is from the annotation of a RefSeq genome assembly. Lineage: Eukaryota; Metazoa; Chordata; Mammalia; Rodentia; Heteromyidae.